This is a small nuclear RNA of Etheostoma spectabile (orangethroat darter), 184 nucleotides long. RefSeq annotates it as U2 spliceosomal RNA. The transcript has a single exon. Lineage: Eukaryota; Metazoa; Chordata; Actinopteri; Perciformes; Percidae. The record is from RefSeq and is a predicted model, not a curated record.
UUCAUUUCUCGUCCUUUUGGCUAAGAUCACAGUGUAGUAUCUUUCUAUCAUUUAAUAUCUAUCUCGCCCCUACCGGGACCAUACUAAAUUGAUUUUGGAACUGGUAGAUGGGAUUAGGGGCUUGCUCCUUCCACUCCACGCAUCGACCUGUAUUGCGUACCUUUCCAGGAACGUUGGCACCCCC